RNAcentral lists this unclassified non-coding RNA (386 nucleotides) under Hevea brasiliensis (rubber tree). The record is from RNAcentral. Lineage: Eukaryota; Viridiplantae; Streptophyta; Magnoliopsida; Malpighiales; Euphorbiaceae.
AAAAUUCCAAUACGGGAAGGCGAAGAAGGACCUCGUUAUCGAGAGCCAUGAUGCUGCAUUCGAGGUGAAGAAAGGAGAGAUGAUCUUUGGGUUUCAGCCACUUGCAACCAAGGACGAGAAAGUGUUUGUUAAUGCCUCGGAGUUUGUAGGGGAUCGAUUUGUGGGGGAGGAUGGUAAGAAGCUGCUGAAGUAUGUGUAUUGGAGCAAUGGUUUUGAGACGGAGAGCCCGACGGUGGGAAACAAGCAGUGUGCCGGUAAGAACUUCGUCGUGCUGGUGGCGCGGCUGCUGGUGGUGGAGUUCUUCCUCCGGUAUGAUACUUUCGUCGGGGAGGUUUCGACCAACCUCUUGGGGGUGGGGGUGAAGGUGAAGUCGUUGACCAAAGCCG